This 400-nucleotide ribosomal RNA is filed under the name uncultured soil bacterium. RNAcentral's name for it is "bacterial SSU rRNA". It matches the Rfam family "Bacterial small subunit ribosomal RNA", at positions 26 to 447 of the family's 1533-position model. The record is from RNAcentral.
AGAACGAACGCUGGCGGCAUGCCUAAUACAUGCAAGUCGAACGAACUCUUCGGAGUUAGUGGCGCACGGGUGCGUAACGCGUGGGAAUCUGCCCUUGGGUUCGGAAUAACAGUUGGAAACGACUGCUAAUACCGGAUGAUGACGAAAGUCCAAAGAUUUAUCGCCCAGGGAUGAGCCCGCGUAGGAUUAGCUAGUUGGGUGAGGUAAAGGCUCACCAAGGCGACGAUCCUUAGCUGGUCUGAGAGGAUGAUCAGCCACACUGGGACUGAGACACGGCCCAGACUCCGUACGGGAGGCCAGCAGUAGGGGAAUAGUAGGACAAGUGGGACGAAAGCCUGAUACCAGCAAUGCCGCGUGAGUGAUGAGGCCGUUAGGUUGAAAGUCUUCUUUACCCGAGUAU